ACGGGUGAGUAAUACAUCGGAACGUGCCCAGUAGUGGGGGAUAGCCCGGCGAAAGCCGGAUUAAUACCGCAUACGACCUACGGGUGAAAGCGGGGGAUCGCAAGACCUCGCGCUAUUGGAGCGGCCGAUGUCAGAUUAGCUAGUUGGUGGGGUAAAAGCCUACCAAGGCGACGAUCUGUAGCUGGUCUGAGAGGACGACCAGCCACACUGGGACUGAGACACGGCCCAGACUCCUACGGGAGGCAGCAGUGGGGAAUUUUGGACAAUGGGCGCAAGCCUGAUCCAGCCAUGCCGCGUGUGGGAAGAAGGCCUUCGGGUUGUAAACCACUUUUGUCAGGGAAGAAACGGUCUGAUCUAAUAAAUUGGACUAAUGACGGUACCUGAAGAAUAAGCACCGGCUAACUACGUGCCAGCAGCCGCGGUAAUACGUAGGGUGCAAGCGUUAAUCGGAAUUACUGGGCGUAAAGCGUGCGCAGGCGGCUAUGCAAGACAGAUGUGAAAUCCCCGGGCUCAACCUGGGAACUGCAUUUGUGACUGCAUGGCUAGAGUACGGUAGAGGGGGAUGGAAUUCCGCGUGUAGCAGU
RNAcentral lists this ribosomal RNA (584 nucleotides) under Rhizobacter sp. StTD726. RNAcentral's name for it is "bacterial SSU rRNA". It matches the Rfam family "Bacterial small subunit ribosomal RNA", at positions 102 to 682 of the family's 1533-position model. The record is from RNAcentral. Lineage: Bacteria; Pseudomonadati; Pseudomonadota; Betaproteobacteria; Burkholderiales; Sphaerotilaceae.